AACCCUGUGGCUCAGUUGGUAGAGCAUGGUGUUUGCAACGCCAGGGUUGUGGGUUCGAUUCCCACGCGGGGCCA
RNAcentral lists this transfer RNA (74 nucleotides) under Salmo salar (Atlantic salmon). It matches the Rfam family "tRNA". From Rfam's summary of the family: Transfer RNA (tRNA) molecules are approximately 80 nucleotides in length. Their secondary structure includes four short double-helical elements and three loops (D, anti-codon, and T loops). Further hydrogen bonds mediate the characteristic L-shaped molecular structure. tRNAs have two regions of fundamental functional importance: the anti-codon, which is responsible for specific mRNA codon recognition, and the 3' end, to which the tRNAs corresponding amino acid is attached (by aminoacyl-tRNA synthetases). tRNAs cope with the degeneracy of the genetic code in two manners: having more than one tRNA (with a specific anti-codon) for a particular amino acid; and 'wobble' base-pairing, i.e. permitting non-standard base-pairing at the 3rd anti-codon position. The record is from Rfam by way of RNAcentral. Lineage: Eukaryota; Metazoa; Chordata; Actinopteri; Salmoniformes; Salmonidae.